GGACGAAAGUCUGACGGAGCGACGCCGCGUGGUGGAUGAAGUCCCUAGGGACGUAAACACCUUUUAUGAGGGAGGAAGUUUAUUGACGUUACCUCAUGAAUAAGGGGCUCCCAAUUCUGUGCCAGCAGGAGCGGUAAUACAGAAGCCCCGAGCAUUACCCGGAUUCACUGGGCGUAAAGGGUGCGUAGGUGGUCGUAUUAGUCGGGUGUUAAAUCCUGGGGCUUAACCUCAGGCUCGCAUUCGAAACGGUAUGACUAGAAGAAGUCAGAGGUAAACAGAACUCUCGGUGUAGGGGUGAAAUCCGUUGAUAUCGAGGGGAAUACCAAAUGCGAAGGCAGUUUACUGGGACUUUCUUGACACUGAGGCACGAAAGCGUGGGUAGCGAACGGGAUUAGAUACCCCGGUAGUCCACGCCCUAAACGCUGUCUGCUAGCUAUGAGGAGUAUCGACCCUCUUCGUGGCGUAGGUAACCCGAUAAGCAGACCGCCUGGGUAGUACGAGCGCAAGCUUAA
Molecule: ribosomal RNA, 512 nt
Filed under: uncultured bacterium
Lineage: Bacteria
Description: bacterial SSU rRNA
Rfam family: Bacterial small subunit ribosomal RNA
Source: RNAcentral